CCCGGGUGCGUCGCAGCCCCGGAACCAGGCGCCCGCCGGAGGGACCAACCAAACUCUUUCUGUAGUCCCCUCGCGGACGUUAUUUCUUACAGCUCUGAGCAAAAAUUCAAAAUGAAUCAAAACUUUCAACAACGGAUCUCUUGGUUCUGGCAUCGAUGAAGAACGCAGCGAAAUGCGAUAAGUAAUGUGAAUUGCAGAAUUCAGUGAAUCAUCGAAUCUUUGAACGCACAUUGCGCCCGCCAGUAUUCUGGCGGGCAUGCCUGUCCGAGCGUCAUUUCAACCCUCGAACCCCUCCGGGGGGUCGGCGUUGGGGAUCGGGAACCCCUAAGACGGGAUCCCGGCCCCGAAAUACAGUGGCGGUCUCGCCGCAGCCUCUCCUGCGCAGUAGUUUGCACAACUCGCACCGGGAGCGCGGCGCGUCCACGUCCGUAAAACACCCAACUUCUGAAAUGUUGACCUCGGAUCAGGUAGGAAUACCCGCUGAACUUAAGCAUAUCAAUAAGCGGAGGAAAAGAAACCAACAGGGAUUGCCCCAGUAACGGCGAGUGAAGCGGCAACAGCUCAAAUUUUGAAAUCUGGCCCCUAGGGUCCGAGUUGUAAUUUGUAGAGGAUGCUUUUGGUGAGGUGCCGCCCGA
RNAcentral lists this ribosomal RNA (635 nucleotides) under fungal endophyte. RNAcentral describes it as "eukaryotic LSU rRNA". The stretch from base 121 to 274 matches the Rfam family "5.8S ribosomal RNA". Lineage: Eukaryota; Fungi. The record is from RNAcentral.